RNAcentral lists this small nuclear RNA (107 nucleotides) under Moschus moschiferus (Siberian musk deer). The record is from RNAcentral. Lineage: Eukaryota; Metazoa; Chordata; Mammalia; Artiodactyla; Moschidae.
GUGCUCACUUUGGCAGCACAAAUACUAAAACUGGAACAAUUCAGAGAAGGUUUGCACAGUCCCUGAACAAGGAUGACGCACAAAUUUGCGAAGCAUUCCUUUUUUUU